Molecule: ribosomal RNA, 500 nt
Filed under: uncultured cyanobacterium
Lineage: Bacteria; Bacillati; Cyanobacteriota
Description: bacterial SSU rRNA
Rfam family: Bacterial small subunit ribosomal RNA
Source: RNAcentral
GGGGAAUUUUCCGCAAUGGGCGAAAGCCUGACGGAGCAAGACCGCGUGAGGGAGGAAGGCUCUUGGGUUGUAAACCUCUUUUCUUGGGGAAUAAAAAAAUGAAGGUACCCAAGGAAUCAGCAUCGGCUAACUCCGUGCCAGCAGCCGCGGUAAUACGGAGGAUGCAAGCGUUAUCCGGAAUUAUUGGGCGUAAAGCGUCCGCAGGUGGCACUUCAAGUCUGCUGUCAAAGACCGGGGCUUAACCCUGGAAAGGCAAUGGAAACUGAAGCGCUAGAGUGUCGUAGGGGUAGAGGGAAUUCCUGGUGUAGCGGUGAAAUGCGUAGAGAUCAGGAAGAACAUCGGUGGCGAAAGCGCUCUACUGGACGACAACUGACACUCAGGGACGAAAGCUAGGGGAGCGAAUGGGAUUAGAUACCCCAGUAGUCCUAGCCGUAAACGAUGGAUACUAGGUGUGGCUUGUAUCGACCCGAGCCGUGCCGUAGCUAACGCGUUAAGUAUCC